RNAcentral lists this ribosomal RNA (35 nucleotides) under Ergenstrema mugilis. Its description in RNAcentral is "partial 5.8S ribosomal RNA". The record is from RNAcentral. Lineage: Eukaryota; Metazoa; Platyhelminthes; Monogenea; Gyrodactylidea; Tetraonchidae.
AGUGAUGCUCUCGCCUAUCCACACUGUACAACUGC